Molecule: long non-coding RNA, 2003 nt
Organism: Fukomys damarensis (Damara mole-rat)
Lineage: Eukaryota; Metazoa; Chordata; Mammalia; Rodentia; Bathyergidae
Exons: 3
Source: RefSeq, a predicted model, not a curated record
CUUGUUUAUUAUAGGGUCGCGUUGCGGGGGGAGGGGUACAGCCCGUGACCGCGCUGGCUGGGGAGGCUGGGAAACUUGAGGGGCGGUGGGGAGGGAGGACAGUGACUCUCAGCGAUUGAGAUCCCAAGGGCUAAGGACACAGCGGGGCACACGGGAGGAUGCUCUGGGACUGCGGCGCGGGGGCGACGUUGACCCCGUCAGCCUCGCGCCCCGCGCUGUCCCUGCCUGGUGGAGGCUGGGCUGUGGGGGUGGGGUCUGAAGCCUGUGUGCGCCCCCUGCCCGGGUCCCGCCUGCCUGUGACUCCGCACCCCCGGGGAAUGGAUUCUCAGGAUCCCUGUCCCCCACCCCACAAGCCCAGUCCCCAAGCCCUAUCCGGCCACCCCCCCACACACAGCUGUGCUUGGUUGGUGCCUAGAGGGGUGCUCACACCCCCGGCUCACAGUACCCAAGGUCCGCCCGGCCCAGGGCGCCUCCCGCUGGCCCCGGGGACGGCCGCACGCAGCCCACUUGUCACGGGGCGUCCGCCGGGUCCUAGAACCCUUCCCCACUCUUUGUAUGAAAGCUCCAGCGAUCCUCGGGACCGAGGGCCGAGCUCUCCGUAAAAGCCCCGUAGUGCAAUGGCCAUUGUAGGUUUCGUCAUCCAGGCGGGGCCGCAGGAAAUCUGGCCCGGCAGCGGUGUUGCAGGGCUGAUAGAGGUGGCUGAGGGUGGGAGGAGACUGGGAUUGACUGGACCUUUAUUUCUUUAAAGGGUUAUCAAUCUGGGACAGACGGCUCUGAUGGAAGAGAGAACCAAACUUACAUCAGACACUUGACCCCUUGGCCAGGAGCCAAACCAGAUCAGCCAGACGAGCCUCCCCCAGGGCAGGCUUGUACAUGACAGGCUAUGCCACCCGCUGGGAGCCUGAAAGACACUAAAUCAAGGUGGUUCCAUCAAGUGCUGGUGCAGGUGACAAGCCUCCUUUCAAAUCAUCUUUACUAAGGCACGGUUAUAGAAGACAGAAGAUGCUAACCUUUCCAGAGCGUCAAGAGAGCUAUCUGGGUCGAAGGCCAUUUUCUUGAAGCUUCCUUCGGAUAUCAGAGGCUGACUGAGUGAUGAAUUUAUCUUCAAGAAUACCCUGACCCUCUGCUGACUCUGGUGACAAAGAUGUGUACUUACUUACAGCCUCCUGUAGUUGGUCUAAAAAGGCCCAGGGAUCUUUGUCCUUCCCUUGGCUGACAGUUGACAACUUAGAAUAGUUUACAAGUUUAGACCUAGCUCUCCUCAGGUCCUGAAGAACACAAGUUAAAAAGGGUCUUCUGUUCUGUGCCCCGCUGUGGUAUUGGGGUCCCAGUGGGGAUCCCGUAAUGGGACUGCCUGAGCUCCUAUGGGGAAUGGCUGUUCUCCUGACCCUAACUCCUGUGGUCCUUUGGAAUGGAUUAGAUGUGUCUCGUCCCCAAAGCCCCUUAAUUCUCACUAGGGGUCAGGGUCAGGUUUAAAAAUAACCACAUCUUCCCAAGCUAAGUAAAAAGACUGAGUAAGUCCUGUAAAAACUUCGAGGAUCAUCUGAAAAUUUCCCUAAGUCUUGUUUUAUUUUUUUAUCUUUUCUUGUUUUAUUUGUUUAAGAUUGCAGAGGGAAAAUGACAUAUGUAUCCAUGUAGAGAGUAUGAAUCUUUUUUUUUUUUUUUUUGUAUAGGGGAUCAAACUAAGGUCCUUUUGCUUGAUGAGGCAGGUGGCAGAACCACUGAACUAAAUCCCUGGCCUGAGCCUACUGAAUCUGGAGUGGCUUAGGGGCUUCAGGGCAUGGAGGGCAGAGGGGAGGAGCUUCAGACCCAGCCUUGGUGGAGAUAUCAGAUCUGCUGGUUACAACCAUCUGAUUUUCUUUUGGAUCACACCCACACUUGGAGCGUAAGUCAGGGUUAUCUCUCAGAGCAAAGAAGACUUGAACAUAAGCGACCGCUGAUCAUUUCCCUUCUCUUUUACAAAAUAAUUCCAAUUGAAGGAUAGUUUUUUGUGUGUUUUUUGU